GACGAACGCUGGCGGCGUGCCUAAUACAUGCAAGUUGAGCGAUGAAGAUUGGUGCCUGCACCAAUUUGAAGAGCAGCGAACGGGUGAGUAACGCGUGGGGAAUCUGCCUUUGAGCGGGGGACAACAUUUGGAAACGAAUGCUAAUACCGCAUAACAACUUUAAACAUAAGUUUUAAGUUUGAAAGAUGCAAUUGCAUCACUCAAAGAUGAUCCCGCGUUGUAUUAGCUAGUUGGUGAGGUAAAGGCUCACCAAGGCGAUGAUACAUAGCCGACCUGAGAGGGUGAUCGGCCACAUUGGGACUGAGACACGGCCCAAACUCCUUCGGGAGGCAGCAGUAGGGAAUCUUCGGCAAUGGACGAAAGUCUGACCGAGCAACGCCGCGUGAGUGAAGAAGGUUUUCGGAUCGUAAAACUCUGUUGGUAGAGAAGAACGUUGGUGAGAGUGGAAAGCUCAUCAAGUGACGGUAACUACCCAGAAAGGGACGGCUAACUACGUG
This 497-nucleotide ribosomal RNA is filed under the name uncultured bacterium. RNAcentral describes it as "partial 16S ribosomal RNA". It matches the Rfam family "Bacterial small subunit ribosomal RNA", at positions 28 to 507 of the family's 1533-position model. The record is from RNAcentral.